GACGUAGGGGGCUAGCGUUGUUCGGAAUUACUGGGCGUAAAGCGCGCGUAGGCGGACCUGCAAGUCGGGGGUGAAAGCCCGAGGCUCAACCUCGGAACUGCCUUCGAUACUGCGGGUCUCGAGUCCGGGAGAGGUGAGUGGAAUUCCUAGUGUAGAGGUGAAAUUCGUAGAUAUUAGGAAGAACACCAGUGGCGAAGGCGGCUCACUGGCCCGGUACUGACGCUGAGGCGCGAAAGCGUGGGGAGCAAGCAGG
Molecule: ribosomal RNA, 253 nt
Filed under: uncultured bacterium
Lineage: Bacteria
Description: partial 16S ribosomal RNA
Rfam family: Bacterial small subunit ribosomal RNA
Source: RNAcentral